Thunnus maccoyii (southern bluefin tuna) is the source of this 552-nucleotide long non-coding RNA. RefSeq lists it as uncharacterized. Lineage: Eukaryota; Metazoa; Chordata; Actinopteri; Scombriformes; Scombridae. The record is from RefSeq and is a predicted model, not a curated record. The transcript is spliced from 3 exons.
AUUUGCUGAAGAUGCCAUCGUCCACGACAGCUCCGAGCAUUUCUAACAAAUCAAGCGAUGAGAGUCAAGUACAGGAGGUUAGAGAAGGAGGAAGAGGGUGAGAAAGAGGGUGAGUUAGUGGUUCUGCUGCAGGCAGGGCCAGGCGAGGGAGGAGAGCAAACACCGGCACCGCGGAAGCAGGGGAAGAGGCUGGAAACCCUCUGAAGGGACUGAAGCGACUGAGAAACUUCUUGAAGAGAUGACCUUGGAGGAGCACAGGCAGCUCACCAGUGAACUGCUUCAGAGGCAGCCAGGGUUCAUUUUUGAUGCCUUGAUGAUGCAUCAGUGCAGGCAUGGUGUCCCACCGUUUGCUGGAGUGCCAGGGGUACCAUGUUGUACUUGUAGUAACUGUACAGACAUGCCUACAGACUGGGAGAGGAAAUGCUGUGGCCAGUACCCUGCAGAUUGUGUAAUAAUAAUACCACACUUCUCCCAGUACUGUCUUGAAAAUGCUUUUUAUGCAUUCAUAGUUGGUACUGGGAGGACAUUAUGGUAUUUGGCCAAACCAGGAAG